This 494-nucleotide ribosomal RNA is filed under the name uncultured bacterium. Its description in RNAcentral is "partial 16S ribosomal RNA". It matches the Rfam family "Bacterial small subunit ribosomal RNA", at positions 28 to 506 of the family's 1533-position model. The record is from RNAcentral.
GACGAACGCUGGCGGCGUGCCUAAUACAUGCAAGUAGAACGCUGAAGGAGGAGCUUGCUUCUCUGGAUGAGUUGCGAACGGGUGAGUAACGCGUAGGUAACCUGCCUGGUAGCGGGGGAUAACUAUUGGAAACGAUAGCUAAUACCGCAUAAUAGCAGUUAUUGCAUGAUAACUGUUUGAAAGGUGCAAUUGCACCACUACCAGAUGGACCUGCGUUGUAUUAGCUAGUUGGUGGGGUAACGGCUCACCAAGGCGACGAUACAUAGCCGACCUGAGAGGGGGAUCGGCCACACUGGGACUGAGACACGGCCCAGACUCCUACGGGGGGGCGCGGUGGGGAAUCUUCGGCAAAGGACGGAAGUCUGACCGAACAACGCCGCGUGAGUGAAGAAGGUUUUCGGAUCGUAAAGCUCUGUUUGAAGGGAAAAACGGGUGUGAGAGGGGAAAGUUCACCCUGUGACGGUAUUUUACCAGAAAGGGACGGCAAACUACGU